RNAcentral lists this unclassified non-coding RNA (211 nucleotides) under soil metagenome. Its description in RNAcentral is "partial contains 5.8S ribosomal RNA, internal transcribed spacer 2, and large subunit ribosomal RNA". The record is from RNAcentral.
AACACUGUUAACCUGCGGUACCUGCGGAAGGAUCAUUACCGAGUGCGGGCUGCCUCCGGGCGCCCAACCUCCCACCCGUGACUACCUAACACUGUUGCUUCGGCGGGGAGCCCCCCAGGGGCGAGCCGCCGGGGACCACUGAACUUCAUGCCUGAGAGUGAUGCAGUCUGAGCCUGAAUACAAAUCAGUCAAAACUUUUAACAACGGAUCU